This 457-nucleotide ribosomal RNA is filed under the name uncultured Caryophanon sp. RNAcentral describes it as "bacterial SSU rRNA". It matches the Rfam family "Bacterial small subunit ribosomal RNA", at positions 925 to 1382 of the family's 1533-position model. Lineage: Bacteria; Bacillati; Bacillota; Bacilli; Caryophanales; Caryophanaceae. The record is from RNAcentral.
ACAAGCGGUGGAGCAUGUGGUUAAUUCGAAGCAACGCGAAGAACCUUACCAGGUCUUGACAUCCCACUGACCGCUAUGGAGACAUAGCUUUCCCUUCGGGGACAGUGGUGACAGGUGGUGCAUGGUUGUCGUCAGCUCGUGUCGUGAGAUGUUGGGUUAAGUCCCGCAACGAGCGCAACCCUUGUCCUUAGUUGCCAUCAUUUAGUUGGGCACUCUAGGGAGACUGCCGGUGACAAACCGGAGGAAGGUGGGGAUGACGUCAAAUCAUCAUGCCCCUUAUGACCUGGGCUACACACGUGCUACAAUGGACGAUACAAACGGUUGCCAACCCGCGAGGGGGAGCCAAUCCGAUAAAGUCGUUCUCAGUUCGGAUUGUAGGCUGCAACUCGCCUACAUGAAGUCGGAAUCGCUAGUAAUCGCGGAUCAGCACGCCGCGGUGAAUACGUUCCCGGGCCUU